Pelobates cultripes (western spadefoot toad) is the source of this 1046-nucleotide non-coding RNA. The record is from the annotation of a GenBank genome assembly. Lineage: Eukaryota; Metazoa; Chordata; Amphibia; Anura; Pelobatidae.
GUUAACUUUUAACUUUCUUUUAUAUGGUCAUACCUAUCCUGAUGGAAUCUACAAUAUCGCCUAGGGUUGGCUCAGCACAGUUUGCUUAUAGAUGGAUUUAAAUUGUGCACCAGAUGGAAGCUGCAUUUGAUUAACAGAAGAAAUAUCUCUGAAAAUUACAACAAGAGUUUAAUUGUUUCCCCCUAGAGGAUGAGAAUAGUUUGGUUGUCACAUAGAGUCAUUCAUCUGUUGCUUAAAAUUUGCAAAGAAACAAUCAAUGCCUCAGCCAAGAACAUAAGAACAAUUAAAAUAUCUCAUCACUUAUUUAUGACGCAACUUAUUCGCAGCUUAAAGUGGGAAAAGUAAGAGCAGAUGUUUCUGAAGUCCAUUUAACUUGUAUUCACGGGACCGCUUAAGAAGAGUAAUCGGGUUGUUGGCUUCAAGAAUUGAUGUGACUUGAUAGUGGAAAACAAAACUCAGAGCUUGUACAUUGAAUAGACAAUUGUCUGGCAGUCUCACAAAAUGCUUUCAAGAGACAAAUUUCUGAGAAACACUAAACCAAUGUGUGACACAAGGAUCCCAUCUGCCAUUGCUUUUUUUGGACUUGAAAACUAUUUCGGUAUUAUGUCUUGAUGCUAUGAGACUAAAUUUGGCUUCACAACCCUCAAACAAAUGGGACAGAGAAUACAGUUUACUUAAAGUAUUUUAUUACAGGUACCCAAAAUUGAUCAUAUUGUAUCACUUGCACACAUAAAUAGAAACUGUAAUGUAGACAAGGUUUCAUUAAAAUUAAAAGCAAACAGACAAUAUAUAUUGAUAACCUUUAUGCUGUAACAUCAUCAAUAGUGUUGUAUUAGCUGCAAAGCUCCUGUCCUAUUCUGUUACAAAUGUUAACAUAAAAUUCUCCUCCCCUGUUAUGUAGCCAGGAUGCCAGAAUUUAUGACUAUGAAUAUGAAAAAGAGCAGUAUAUGCAACAAUAGGGUCAUAAUUUGCAGUGGAGUGGAAAGUACCCUGAAUGCACAUCCAUAAACUACAUAUCUAAGACGCUCACCUAAAGGAAGUUUGAU